Molecule: ribosomal RNA, 440 nt
Filed under: uncultured bacterium
Lineage: Bacteria
Description: partial 16S ribosomal RNA
Rfam family: Bacterial small subunit ribosomal RNA
Source: RNAcentral
CCUACGGGUGGCAGCAGUGGGGGAUAUUGCACAAUGGGGGGAACCCUGAUGCAGCGACGCAGCGUGGGUGAAGAAGCGCCUCGGCGAGUAAAGCCCUGUCAGCAGGGAAGAAAAUGACGGUACGUGAAGAAGAAGCACCGGCUAACAACGUGACAGCAGCCGCGUUAAUACGUAGGGGGCAAGCGUAAUCCGGAUUUACUGGGUGUAAAGGGGGCGCAGACGGCGAUGCAAGACAGGAGGGAAAGCCCGGGGCCCAACCCCGGGACUGCUCUUGGAACUGCGUGGCUGGAGUGCAGGAGGGGCAGGCGGAAUUCGUGGUGUAGCGGUGAAAUGCGUAGAUAUCAGGAGGAACACCGGUGGCGAAGGCGGCCUGCGGGACUGCAACUGACGUUGAGGCCCGAAAGCGUGGGGAGCGAACAGGAUUAGAUACCCGAGUAGUC